UGGUUCAGCAGCCCAUAUACUAAAAUUGGAACGAUACAGAGAAGAUUAGCAUGGCCUAUGCCCAAGGAUGACACACAAAUUCAUGAAUUGUUACAUAUUUUU
Small nuclear RNA from Zalophus californianus (California sea lion), 102 nucleotides. The record is from Ensembl. Lineage: Eukaryota; Metazoa; Chordata; Mammalia; Carnivora; Otariidae.